GCCAGCUGCGUGAAUUAAUGUGAAUUGCAGGACACAUUGAACAUCGAUAUCUUGAACGCAUAUUGCGGGCCUCGGGCAUUCCCGAGGCCACGCCUGUCUCAGGGUCGGUUACACGUCAAUCGCGAAGCCGCUCUCCGGUAUGGCUCGCGCAGUGGCGGUCGCAGGGUUCGCCCUUCGUCCGCUCAAGCAGAGACGGGUUCAACUCGAUCGUCGGCGAUCGGGACGGUGACUCGACGACUUGUGCGCCGCACCGCAUCUCCCGGUCGCGAUCGAGGCGAACCAAACACAUCUAACACUGACUUCGACCUGAGAUCNGACGAGAUUACCC
Molecule: unclassified non-coding RNA, 328 nt
Filed under: Globulidrilus riparius
Lineage: Eukaryota; Metazoa; Annelida; Clitellata; Enchytraeida; Enchytraeidae
Description: sequence contains ITS2
Rfam family: 5.8S ribosomal RNA (bases 1-107)
Source: RNAcentral